GUUGACCUCUUUGAAGGCAAAGACAUGGCAGCAGUGCAGAGGACCCUGAUGGCUUUGGGCAGCUUGGCAGUGACCAAGAAUGAUGGGCACUACCGUGGAGAUCCCAACUGGUUUAUGAAGAAAGCGCAGGAGCAUAAGAGGGAAUUCACAGAGAGCCAGCUGCAGGAGGGAAAGCAUGUCAUUGGCCUUCAGAUGGGCAGCAACAGAGGGGCCUCCCAGGCCGGCAUGACAGGCUACGGACGACCUCGGCAGAUCAUCAGUUAGAGCGGAGAGGGCUAGCCCUGAGCCCGGCCCUCCCCCAGCUCCUUGGCUGCAGCCAUCCCGCUUAGCCUGCCUCACCCACACCCGUGUGGUACCUUCAGCCCUGGCCAAGCUUUGAGGCUCUGUCACUGAGCAAUGGUGAAGACAGGGAAGCCCCACAGCAAAAAGGAGAGGCCCAGACUGUGAGUUCCCAGCCCGGGGCUCCAUCUACCGGCUUGACGCUGGAACUGGGAAGCACAGCUGGGGUUCAGAGGGCGAUGGGCUCCCUAGGCGGCCCUUCCCCUGUGACUGGCCUUCCCUCUGACACAUGCGGCUUUACCCACCUUUGUCUGUCCCUGAUGUCUACUGCACUCCACACAGAGCCAUAUAGGGUCAGCUGCCAUUGCCGGAGGAUGCCGACCUGGAAUGACUCAUCCCCUAGGGCAGCAAGGGGCAGCUCGUGAGCCACGCCCCUCUGUCAGCCAUGCCAGACAGCAGAGGCCCUGCCCGCCCUGCCACCCAAAGGGGCUCAGGCCACAUGGUCUGCUCCAGGAGCUGCCUCACUGUGUCCCACUGACCCCAGGUUCUGCAGAAGGGCCUCACUGGGUGCCCUUAGGGAUGGAAAGGGUUGAAAGGCUGUACUCCAAAGCAGAGUCUUGCUUUUCUCUCCCGUAUUUUGGGGGUUCAGCUGGGAUUAGAAAAAAAUGUCUUUCCACCAAAUUAAAGAAAGCUUUGAAAACCAC
This 983-nucleotide long non-coding RNA is filed under the name Homo sapiens (human). RNAcentral's name for it is "HSALNT0181736". Lineage: Eukaryota; Metazoa; Chordata; Mammalia; Primates; Hominidae. The record is from RNAcentral.